AUGUCGCAAAAGCAAUUUGAGAAUGAGGUUGAUCUUCUGAUGAGACUUGAGCAUCCAAAUAUAGUACGAUUAGUAGGCUACUGCUAUGAAAUAGAAAACGAACACUUCCCUCUCAAUGGGAAAUACGUUUUUGCUGGGAAGGCAGAAAGUUUGCUUUGCCUGGAGUAUCUGCCUAAUGGAAGUCUUGACGAGUUUCUUUCAGAUUCAGAUAAAUCUUCUCGACUUGAUUGGCACACACGCUACAAAAUUAUUGAGGGGACCUGCAGUGGUUUACAGUACCUUCACAAGCAAACUGACGGGCCUAUCAUUCACUUGGAUCUAAAACCCGCUAACUUACUGCUCAAUGAUGCUUUGGAGCCCAAACUUGCAGACUUUGGUCUGUCACGUCUUCUUGAUCAACAAGGAACUGUGUGCACUAUGGAAGUUAAUGGGACAUUAGGAUACAUGCCCCCAGAAUACCUACAAGGUAUACUCGGAACUAUGUCAGACAUAUUCAGUCUGGGUGUAAUAAUCUUGGAGAUAGUAACAGGAGAAAGGAAGUACCCAGAUAAUAUUCCUCCUUUGGAGGAAUUCAUUGAGACUGAGCUUGAAAAAUGGAGAGAUACGCUGCAGAAAGCACCAGGGUAUACAUCCUUAGAGAUAGAUUGCCUACAAAUAAGGAGAUGCAUUCAGGUAGGUCUAAAAUGCAUGAAUCCUUCACGGGCUAAAAGACCUACAAUCACUAAAGUCAUCAAGAUGCUUCAAGGAUUGGGAGGUAUGGAUUGCAAUAUUAGCAAUGAGGUAACGCCAACGGCAGCCCAGAUUAGGUCCGGCCCAAGAGAGUUGCUUGAUAUCCACCCCUUGGAGCUCAGCUUUAGCUUGGAUUCAGACAAGCAGAUCCGUUGCCUCGUAAAGCUAACUAAUAAAACAAAUGAAUGUGUUGCAUUUCAUUUUAAGGUUACGGGGGUAACAAACAAGUACUGCAUUGAACCGGCUGGCAGAUUCCUGUUGCCACGGGAGAUGACUUAUUUAGUUGUAACAAUGGAAACGAGAGGGGAGUUGCCGGCAUUAGACUUGCAGUGCAAUGAUCAAUUCCUUGUACAAAGCAUCAUAGUGAGGGAGGAUAGAGUGACAUCUAAGCCUAUCCCUGGACAGACAUUCGACAAAAUGCCAAUCAGUGUGGUGCACAAGGUAAAGUUGGCGGUUAUACAUGUGCCUGCAGUCAUAGUGAGGAAGGAUAGAGUGACAUCUAAGCCUAUCCCUGGACAUACUUUUGACAAAAUGCCAAUCAGUGUGGUGCACAAGGUAAAGUUGCCGGUUAUUCAUGUGCCUGCAGUCCAAGGAACAUUGAAUCCGCAGCAGUCUGAAGGCUCUCAGGGAAAACUUCUAGGAAGACCAAACAUUUCUGACAAGGAUAAUGAAUACACGCUCGUUGAAUGUUUGGGAAAAGACCUUGGAUAUUGUGCGGGAAAGCCCAUUGCUGCAGUUCUCAUAUAUAAAUGUUUUGUUCAAUGGAGAACUUUCGAGUCGCAGACGACCUCAUCCUUUGACUGUAUUAUUCACUUAAUUGGGAGUGCACUAGAGGACCAGGAUAAUAACGAAACAGCUGCAUAUUGGCUCUCCAAUUCAUUCGCAUUACUCCUACUUAUGAAACGGACAUCCAAAUCAAGUGCAGCAGCUCCUCAGAGACAACGGUUCAUGAGAACUGGAGAUUCACCACAAAGCAGUGUAUUUGGUAGGAUCGAAAAGAGCAAUCUCCAGCAAGCUAUUGAAGCCCAUCCGGCUCUGCUUUUCAAGCAACAGCUUACAGCUUACCUUGAGAAGACGUAUCGAAUGAUAAGAGACAAUUUGAAGAGAGAGAUAUCUCCAUUUCUUGAUCAUUGCAUUCAGGCACCGAGAACAGCUCGCAUAAGUCAGAUUCAUGGAGCUUCUGUGGCAAACGUCUUGGCCCAGCAGAUUGGCCAUUGGCAGAGUAUUGUGAAAAUAAUAACAAACUACCUGGGUGUUUUGAAAUCCAAUCAUGUUCCUUCAUUCUUAAUCUGCAAGAUGUUCGGUCAAAUAUUUUCAUUCAUUAAUGUCCAGUUGUUCAUGAGUCUGCUUCUCCGACGAGCGUGCUGUUCAUUUAGCCACGGAGAAUAUGUCAAGGCUGGAUUGGCAGAGUUAGAACAGUGGAUCAUUGAUGCGACUGAAAAGGUAAUCACAAGUAUGAAAACAAUUAUGACUGAAGAAUCAGAAAAUGGAGUGGUCGUUCCUUUCUUAUUUGAUGAUGACGAAAGCAUUCCAUUUUCGCUGCAAGACCUUCAGAAGUGUGCGCGGGUAUUCGAGGUAACUGAUGUUGAUAUGCCGCCUUUGGUCCUGGAGUAUCCUUGCUUUAACUUCCUACACAAAACAAAGGACAAACUGGACGGCCCGGCCCUCCAAAGUUAA
Molecule: ribosomal RNA, 2406 nt
Filed under: Triticum aestivum (bread wheat)
Lineage: Eukaryota; Viridiplantae; Streptophyta; Magnoliopsida; Poales; Poaceae
Description: partial small subunit ribosomal RNA
Source: RNAcentral